Molecule: long non-coding RNA, 820 nt
Filed under: Physcomitrium patens
Lineage: Eukaryota; Viridiplantae; Streptophyta; Bryopsida; Funariales; Funariaceae
Description: long non-coding RNA (PPAT_LNC013805)
Source: RNAcentral
AAAAUGUGGUUGUUAAUUUGUGUUAAAAAAAAAGUAUAAACCACAUGGUCUAUUAAAUUAACGGUUGUUAAUUUAGAAAUAAUUUGAAUGGGAUGUUGUGACGAUGUUGUUAGAAACUCUUUCUGCAAGAAUACAAAUGUUCCAGACAAAAAUUGAGGAUUUUGAAAGACUUCCUGGCGGAAAUCUUGAUAUUCAGACGUUUCCAGAUGUUCUCCAUUGGGUUUUAACAUGUGGCAAUUACACCCCAAGGAUUACUGUCUGCAUCAACAGUGUGGUAGUCAUCGGGUUACAAAUACCCCAGCAAAUCACUUUGUUGGUCUAGAAUUUGAGUACCACUAGAGCAGAGAAAAGCAAGCCUCACAUAGGACGAGAUCUCAUAAACAAAUAUAAUUAAAACCAUCCAGAGAAUAUCUAGAUUUCACUUGAGACAGUAAACGAGAAUUACAGUCACUCCAUUUUCCUUUCAAAAAAAACCUAAAAGCUAUAACUACCAGUGUGCUUGUACAGGUGCACUGUUAUACGAUAUUCCACUGCGUCUCUAGUGCGUUGCAAAUACGUGCGAUGGCCCACAUCGCACUGAGAGGGUAAGCUGACACUGCGACAAGAUCAUCUAUAUAAUCCACUUCAAUCUUCCCAUGAGACAUUGCCCCCACCUACAUUCACAGACAAUUAAAAUGUCAAAGGCAGCACCUACAUUUGUACCCCAGAAAAGAAACACAGAAAGUGUACAGAAAUGCAUCUGAUCAAUGCAUAACAAACAGGAAAUUACAAAACUCGAUCCCAAAUCUGGUGGUGAUAGGAGCGGAAACCCAAACUCACC